This 472-nucleotide ribosomal RNA is filed under the name uncultured bacterium. RNAcentral's name for it is "bacterial SSU rRNA". It matches the Rfam family "Bacterial small subunit ribosomal RNA", at positions 355 to 825 of the family's 1533-position model. The record is from RNAcentral.
UGGGGAAUAUUGGACAAUGGGCGAAAGCCUGAUCCAGCCAUGCCGCGUGUGUGAAGAAGGUCUUCGGAUUGUAAAGCACUUUAAGUUGGGAGGAAGGGCAGUUACCUAAUACGUGAUUGUUUUGACGUUACCGACAGAAUAAGCACCGGCUAACUCUGUGCCAGCAGCCGCGGUAAUACAGAGGGUGCAAGCGUUAAUCGGAAUUACUGGGCGUAAAGCGCGCGUAGGUGGUUAGUUAAGUUGGAUGUGAAAUCCCCGGGCUCAACCUGGGAACUGCAUUCAAAACUGACUGACUAGAGUAUGGUAGAGGGUGGUGGAAUUCCCUGUGUAGCGGUGAAAUGCGUAGAUAUAGGAAGGAACACCAGUGGCGAAGGCGACCACCUGGACUGGUACUGACACUGAGGUGCGAAAGCGUGGGGAGCAAACAGGAUUAGAUACCCAUGUAGUCCCUGAGCGGGCUGGCAAGGCGCAU